RNAcentral lists this ribosomal RNA (216 nucleotides) under uncultured fungus. Its description in RNAcentral is "partial small subunit ribosomal RNA". The stretch from base 52 to 216 matches the Rfam family "Eukaryotic small subunit ribosomal RNA", at positions 698 to 864 of the family's 1831-position model. The record is from RNAcentral. Lineage: Eukaryota; Fungi.
GCCGAGGACGACCGGUCCGCCCACUGGGUGUGUAUCUGGCUCGGCCUGGGCAUCUUCUUGGAGAACGUAUCUGCACUUGACUGUGUGGUGCGGUAUCCAGGACUUUUACUUUGAGGAAAUUAGAGUGUUUCAAGCAGGCACACGCCUUGAAUACAUUAGCAUGGAAUAAUAAGAUAGGACCUUGGUUCUAUUUUGUUGGUUUCUAGAGCUGAGGUA